AGAUGCUACUGUAGGUAGUAAUGGUGCUGAAUUUGUCAGUAUCGCAGUUUUCUGUUGUCCAAAAAAAAAGGAAUUAUUUGGUGUGGGUGUGUUUGUGUGCAGAAAUGAUAUAGCUGGACAAACAACAUGUACAGAAUCUUGAGGGAGGCAAGAUCAAAAGCCUAUGUCAUAUAUUUCCUUGGCAGGUUCAUGGCCUCUGUAGAACUGCAACAGCUCCCUCUGUUCUGAAAACAGUAUGGGGGAAGGAUGACAUAUGCUGGAAAAAUGUGCCGGUGUAAACAAUAAAAGGGACUCAAGUUCUUUAAACAUUACAAGGAAGCAGAAUGACCAACAUCUUCAAAUCAGAACCAC
Rhineura floridana is the source of this 351-nucleotide long non-coding RNA. RefSeq lists it as uncharacterized. Lineage: Eukaryota; Metazoa; Chordata; Lepidosauria; Squamata; Rhineuridae. The transcript has 3 exons. The record is from RefSeq and is a predicted model, not a curated record.